AGAUGCCAUCCAGGCGCACGGCGGGUAUAGUGGUUCCGCAACCUUGGGAUGUUCGGCUGAGCGCCUGCCUAACAUGGGAGCGCCUGCCUAACCCUCCUGACUGGAGGGUCAGCGGCGGGGAGUCCUGGCCUUCAAUCGGCCAUCGCCACGGCAGAAACUGGGGCCCGGGCUGCGUCCAGGCCCUUCCCCGUCCGUCCACAGGUCUCAUGGGCGCCCGGACUGGGGCUGAUGUAGUUUCCCGACCUCUGACACAUAGGAUCUGGAGAUUAAAGCUGCUCUGCUAAUAAUUAGGUUCCCACCUCUCAAGAUCAUUAGGAGCUUCUUUUCCAAUUCCUCUGUUUUGCAUGCAUUGGAAGGCCCCUGGAUCCUCCUGGAAUCCCUGAUCCCUGUUGCUCCCUGGCGGAGUUUUCUAGUCCCUCUUACUUGAAGCAUGUCUUUCAGAGCCCGGCACCACCCAAGUUGGGUAUCUGCUCCUGCUGUCUUCCAUGCUGGGGACAGGAAAGGCUCCACGCUUGACUUUCCCUCCUGUUUUCUUAUCUGCUGUCAACCCCUGA
This 554-nucleotide long non-coding RNA is filed under the name Homo sapiens (human). RNAcentral describes it as "non-protein coding LINC01535:22". The record is from RNAcentral. Lineage: Eukaryota; Metazoa; Chordata; Mammalia; Primates; Hominidae.